CCGCCUCAAUAUCCUCUUUCUUCUUCUCUGCUUGACUUUCUUCUCUGUGUGCCCGCCGCCGCCGCAGCCAUCUCUGGCCGCCGUGGCUACCUCCGUCGUGGGGAUGCAGACCAGCUUUUCCACGCCCCAACGCCGCCCCUCCCAACAUCACCGACCUCCCCACACAUCUCGAACUCGGACUCGGAGAGGAGUCCAUGUUGCGUGUGUCUUGGAGUCAUGUCCGAGGAGGAGAUGUUCAGGAGCACGUGGCCGUUUGGUGCAUGGAAAUUGAUGCUAUAAGAAGGAACCCCUCGGCCACGAUUAGCUCGCAUCGCAUGUUUCUUGCCCAACACAUCGCCGUGCUGCAAGUUUCAUACAUCGCCGUUCUUGUACACCGUUGAUUUCUCGGGGAUCCGUCUGCAUCGCCGUUCUUGUACACCAUUGAUUUCGACGGAGAUCCGUCUGCAUUGCACGUGCUCCAUCGCCUGCCAGAAUUUCGCCUGGCCUGAGGGAAACAAUGGCUCGACGUCGCCGGGUCGCAGCACAAAAUUGACUGGUCCCAGCAAAAAAAAAAGAACAAUUACAGCAAAAGAAAAUCGCCAUCGCGGUCACAGAAAGUGGAUGACAACACUGAAUUGACCAUUGUUGAGGAUUUUGAUAACCGACCUUCAAAAAAAAAAAACGAAAUGUAUGGAAUCCAGUGUUUUGGAGCAAUCACCUACGUCACCAAUCAUCUCAACAUUACCUUCACUCUCAAAAAGUUUUGUAUCGAUGGUUCUUGAGUCAGAUAAUCAAACAAAUAGUGAUCCAUUGCCAGCACCUCCAUCACCAACUAGCUUACCAUUAUCUCUGAAUGCUGAAUUGCCCCUGAAUGAAGGAAAUAUUUCACUAGAUGAUGAUAAGCAAGCAGAGAAUGCUGAAUUGCCCUUGAAUGAAGCAAAUAUUUCAUUACAUGAUGAUAAUCAAACAGAGAAUUCUGAAUUGCCCCCGAAUCAAGGAAAUAUUUCAUUAGAUGAUGACAAGAAAAUAGAGGAACAUGAAACAUAUGACUAUCUCCCACAAGAUUAUACAUUGACAGACCGUGAUGUAUGUGCUCAUAUAGCAAUAGAAACAUCUUUUGAAAAACAAUUGCUGGUGAAGAUAGAUGAAAUAUCUGUGAAAUAACAUCAACUGAAUGAAAAAGAGUGGCUAAAUGAUGAUGUACAAGGGCUACAAUAUCAUUUGGACAUUCUGAAAAGUGAAAAUUUAAUUAGUCCUAAUUGGAAAGACUUUGAUGUUAGUAAAUGGAAGAUAGUAGAACAACUACAGCAGCCAAUUCAAAAAGAUAGUUCAUCUUGUGGUCUAUUUAUGCUUAAAUUCAUGGAAUAUUGGACUGGAUAUGCACUAUCCUAUCCAAUUACACAGGAAAGUAUGGGUACAGAGCUCCAACCCAUAUACAAUUAGGCUGACUCUUAAAAAACUACAAACAAUUCUAAAGGAUGAUUCUCCCACGGAUCCUGAUUGUUUCAAUAUGGUCGUGUGCAAAUUUAUGUUUGAUGACAUCCAAACGGCCAAAAAGAAAAAGGGAUUGAUAUCAAAACAUUAUCUAGACAUGCAAUUUUGGAUGAUUACUGAUUUUGGACGACAUCCAAACUUCUGAAAAGAGUUAGAUGUGGAACAACUAGCAUAUUCUGUUUGUAGUUGGCCCGGUUUCAACUAUAAUAUUUCAACAUGCAAAUCUGUAAGAGCAUUUCUCAGUUACUUUCAACACGACAUUUUUUACAUCUAAUAUCUAGGAUAUUACAGAUUCAUAUUCCAGUACAUUCCAAUGGUGAUUUCAUUCUCUUCAUAUUGGACAAAGAUACACAUACUGUCCAUAUUUUGGAUCCUACGCCUAUCGAUCCUAUCUACCAAUACAACCCACACGCAAAAUAUUUGCACAGACUUAUGGAUUGCAGAAUAUUUACCGAAAGCAAUGUCAAAGGCAUGCCCUGGGUCUAGAUGGAAUGAGAAUAUUCUCCUAUGGCGGCAUAAAAUCGUAGAUGAUAUUCCUGUUUACAACGGGGAACUGUCUGGUUAUCUUAUUACCCUCUACAUGUCUACAUGGGAAGAUGGAAAACUGCAUUUACCAUUUCUAAAGGAUGGAUACGAACUCAGGGAACAAAUUUUGGGACAUCUUCUAACAUUCGAGGACAAUGAAUCUGAAGAUGGCAUGCCUGCCGGUGUCCUGGACUUCAUCAAUUGUAUCAGGAUGAAGAAGCUAUCAACUAUAUGUCCAACUGCUGCUCCUAAAUUAUCUCGACAAUCCUAGAUGCUGUAACGCACCAGCUUGAUCCUAAAGUUUAGUAUGUUCAGCUUAGGGAACUACAUAGGUUUAGCCAAUAGUACCAGCUCAAUCAUAAAGUUUAGUUUGUUCAGCUUAGGGAACUACAUAGGUUUAGACAAUAGUAAUGCUUUGCUUUCUGUACAAGAUCUUAGUUAAAAGAAUAUAUUGCUUCUGAUGCUUACAUGGCAUAACCAAAAAUCAGUUUAACAUUGGCAAUUACUUUUCAGAGAGAUACUGUGGCAUACAACUUUCUUCGAUACAUGGCAUUGUUGCAAUGCCAAGAUUUGAUGAGAACUUUUCUUCUUGGA
This is a non-coding RNA of Aegilops tauschii subsp. strangulata, 2592 nucleotides long. The record is from RefSeq and is a predicted model, not a curated record. NCBI's taxonomy places the organism in Eukaryota, Viridiplantae, Streptophyta, Magnoliopsida, Poales, Poaceae.